GACGAACGCUGGCGGCGUGCUUAACACAUGCAAGUCGAACGGAAAGGCCCUGCUUGCAGGGUACUCGAGUGGCGAACGGGUGAGUAACACGUGGGUGAUCUGCCCUGCACUUCGGGAUAAGCCUGGGAAACUGGGUCUAAUACCGGAUAGGAGCCAUUUUUAGUGUGAUGGUUGGAAAGUUUUUUCGGUGUAGGAUGAGCUCGCGGCCUAUCAGCUUGUUGGUGGGGUAAUGGCCUACCAAGGCGGCGACGGGUAGCCGGCCUGAGAGGGUGGACGGCCACAUUGGGACUGGGGUACGGCCCAGACUCCUACGGGAGGCAGCAGUGGGGAAUAUUGCACAAUGGGCGCAAGCCUGAUGCAGCGACGCCGCGUGGGGGAUGACGGCCUUCGGGUUGUAAACUCCUUUCGCUAGGGACGAAGCUUUUUGUGACGGUACCUAGAUAAGAAGCACCGGCUAACUACGUG
This 465-nucleotide ribosomal RNA is filed under the name uncultured bacterium. Its description in RNAcentral is "partial 16S ribosomal RNA". It matches the Rfam family "Bacterial small subunit ribosomal RNA", at positions 28 to 507 of the family's 1533-position model. The record is from RNAcentral.